CGGUACCCAAAGCGCAUGCGCGAGCGGCGCCCAGACAGGGGGCGAAGCCAAGAGUGCGCCGGCCCCUCCCGUGCGCCAAAGGCCAAUCGCUCUGUGGCUCUGUUUCUUGCGCUGACGUCACAGGUGACAUUGCCCUUUGGCCGUGACCCCUCUAAUGGACUUCCCAGUCUCUGCUUUAUGAAAGGAACGCAGAUUCAGAUUCAGCGAGUGGUUGCUGGACUGUGUGACCUACUUUGAUGUCAGACUGGACACGUAGUAGAGCUCGGGCCUGACAUUGCUGUGUAGGAGAAUGAACUGCAUGGGGGGAAAGGCUUGAAGCAGAGAGGCCAGUAAGGAGGCUGUUGGAGGCAUCCAGGAGAGCAAUAGGAUGGCCAGGAUUAGGGUGAGUAAUGGUGCAUAGGAAAUAAUCUUAGGUUGGGUUUUAGAGACGGAGCCCAGGAGGAUCCAGUGAUAACACCGAGAGUGUGCAUGGGGGUGGGAGGGCAGGGACUAGUCCUCAGUUUGCCUACCUCUCCUUCCUCCCCUAGCAGACCCAGCUGCCUCCACUCAGAGCCCAUCCUUUGGAAUUAAUAGCUUACUACUAAUAGACCCAACCUGAUCUUUUCUUAAAAUUGGGAGCCAUCUCACCACAAACCAUGAAAAGAUAAUUUUGGCUUUACUAUAAACUACUGAAAAUUCUGAACCUGCUUGGAAUGCCUGCCCGUGCCUUGAACUCACCCAUGCCUGGCUCUCUGACCAGACAGCAGCCCUCUCUAAAACUAGUGAUGCCUCACAAAUAUUGGCCUUCCCUGGGCAGAUACUGACCCUCUCUGAGGCUCUAAUGACCUUCAUGAAUUCUGAUGUCGGGGCCAGCAAAAAAUUAGUGUGAUGCUCCUCAGAGUUCUGUUAUCUGUAACCCCCCUUCGUGAAACUUUCUGGGCUAUAAAGCUGGGCUGCAGGAAAGCUGGGGUGGUGUCUUGUUCCCGCGGUUUUGGGUGGGAGAGGCAGCCCGGCCAGUCGAAAUAAUAAGCUUGCUUUAAUUUGAUUUUAAUUGGAGUCAGUAGUCUGUUCUUGUGCCCUGGUCUAACAUUUUGGAGUUCCCCAGCGAAAUGACCCUGCCCGACCAGACCACAAGACCAGACUGCUGGAAAUUCUAAUCUGGCCUUCGCUCCAGGCCUCCAGGCUGGAGAGCCACUCUAGGGGGUGCGCACCUUGAGACAUUCCAAGGCCUUGGAGUGAGCCUCAGUCCCCAGAGCACUGCAGUGAACUGCCGCACUAUAACUAUCAGCAAGCACCUGGUGGAGGAGGCCUCCAUAGAGGUGUUGCUUUAAGAACACAACCUGAUGGGGCUGGGAAUAUGGCUCAAGCAGUAGUGUGCUCGCCUGGCAUGCGUGUGGCCCAGGUUCGAUCCUCAGCACCACAUACAAACAAAGAUGUUGUCUCCACCAAUAA
Molecule: non-coding RNA, 1431 nt
Organism: Ictidomys tridecemlineatus (thirteen-lined ground squirrel)
Lineage: Eukaryota; Metazoa; Chordata; Mammalia; Rodentia; Sciuridae
Source: RefSeq, a predicted model, not a curated record